GCGCACGUUUUCUGUUGAGAUCGCGAUAAAGAGUACAUCGACGGAGUGUUGAAGUUUAGUUUCUGCGUGCUCAUUUAUUGAUCUAAAUUGUGUGAAAGCAGCAGAGGUCAGUGCACGGUGUUUUGAACAACUAAAGAAGACCGGAGCGACGCUGCGGGUGACGGAGAGGAGCAGCAGCCGAAAGCUAGCCGAGCUAACCUGUGUUUCAGUGAUGGGGCAAAGGAUGGCAGCUCUGGUCAGUUGGUCACUCCAUGCAACACUUUGGUACCUCAUCUACUCCUGCUGUGUGACCUGCCGAGGAGCGUGACAGUUUGUUGCUACGUGACGACCGAGGGUAAGAAUGUGUGGCAGAGUCCUGCAAAGACAACAGAGAGGAAUCCUUUCC
Plectropomus leopardus (leopard coralgrouper) is the source of this 385-nucleotide long non-coding RNA. RefSeq lists it as uncharacterized. NCBI's taxonomy places the organism in Eukaryota, Metazoa, Chordata, Actinopteri, Perciformes, Serranidae. The record is from RefSeq and is a predicted model, not a curated record.